Numida meleagris (helmeted guineafowl) is the source of this 1571-nucleotide long non-coding RNA. The record is from Ensembl. NCBI's taxonomy places the organism in Eukaryota, Metazoa, Chordata, Aves, Galliformes, Numididae.
GGGAGAGAAAGGGGAAGGGCUUUACUCCUGCUUCUUUUUUCCAUUAGGAGCACUGAGAGGCAAACAGUGAAUGUGAUGCUGUGCAGGUCUGCCAGUCUCUUCAGUAUCCCCACACCUCAACCUAAAAAUACGUAUGGAAGAAGAAGUUAUAAAAUGUCUGUAACAAGUUUGGUGACUCAGUUCUGUUCAUUUGUAGGUAUUACAUCUCCAGCAACCUAAGCAGAUUCAUCAGUAACUUAAAAUAGUGUUCUUCAUUCUAAUAUCGCUGCUAAUAAUGAUGUCAUUAUCAUGGCUUUGGCGAGUUUUUGCGGUGUGUCAAGGAAGGAAUGGAAAGUAUCUGCUGAAGCAUUUUGCUUGGAGGUGCCCUUCACCAGCAGCACCAUAUGCUUGGAAGCUUGAGGCAGAAUCAAUACUUAAAUGGAUUGCUGUGCACGGUGGAAGAUCUCACUUUAUUGCUCACUCCAACAUCUACAGCUCCCUGCUGCAGUUUUUGCCUGCCCUUGGGCUUCACAGGGAUUUUACUUGUCAGUAUGAAAACCUGCUGGAGGUGGCAAACAUUUCACAGGCAUAAGAAGAUAAGAAAUCAGCUCCAGAUUGCUAGAAUUUCGAUAAGAUAAUGAGCACAUGACCUGAGGACCUGACAUCCACACAGUGAAAGUGUGGAGCAUAUCGUGAUCUCCAUGGCUCAGGUGCUCAUUUGUGGCUCUAAGGUGCAUUCCCAGAGAAUAUCUUUUGGUUCUGUUUAAUACAAAAUUAAAUCAAUUUCAUGUGCAAUUCCAUGUUAUGAAGGAAAGUGCAGCAAAUAUAACUAAGAAAUUCUCUACCAAAACAAGCUAUGAUUUAAACUAAAACUGUAAUGUGGACCAUUGUUCUAUGUCCAUCUCAACUACUCUAGUAGGAAGAUAAUAGUUCCCACUUACUUCUGGGAAAUACUAAAAAUUGUACUAUACAAGGAACUGUAAAAAUAUAUUGUAGGUCAGUCCUGAUGUUGUAGGAAGCUGGAAAUGGCUGCAGUAUGUGUUUCAAGACUGUAAAUUGGGUUCUCUUGAGAAGACACCAGCAAGGUAUAUUUCCCACGUCAAACAAGUUGCCUUAUGGCCCAGUGGAGUUUCUUACCAUCCAGAAAAUAAUGUUUCCAACUUAGAUGAGUUUCCUGUGAUUGUUCAGGCCUUUGUGAAACUAGAUACCAGUCUUCAGGUCAAGGAGAAGCUCCAGCAUUCUCAUGAACUAUAACCAGGAGCAGAAAGCAACCAAACAGAGCUACCAAGGAAAUGAACUGAGCUCUCAACAUUCCCAUUGCUACCUUUGUUUACUCUGAUGGGAAGGAAGAAAGUAAAACAAGAGAAGACAUGAUCUAGUGGUCUUCCUCUGCCAUCCACCUUGGUAAGCACUGCCUUGGAAUGAACUUUUAUUUAUGACACGUGAACAAGCUAGAGACCAGGAUCCAGAAGUGAACAGGGGACUCGGUUCUUCUGAUGUAGCUGUUCAGAUUGUCUCAUCUACCUACUGAAACACACGUUAACAGACUUUUUUGGAGCAUGAAAUUAAAAGCUAACAUGUUAAGGAUUUUU